CCUACGGGCGGCAGCAGUGGGGAAUAUUGCACAAUGGGGGAAACCCUGAUGCAGCGACGCCGCGUGAGUGAAGAAGUAUUUCGGUACGUAAAGCUCUAUCAGCAGGGAAGAAACUGUCGGUACCUGACUAAGAAGCCACGGCUAACUACGUGCCAGCAGCCGCGGUAAUACGUAGGGGGCAAGCGGUAUCCGGAUUUACUGGGUGUAAAGGGAGCGUAGACGGCAGCGCAAGUCUGGAGUGAAAUCCCAUGGCUUAACCAUGGAACUGCUUGGGAAACUGUGCAGCUAGAGUGCAGGAGAGGUAAGCGGAAUUCCUAGUGUAGCGGUGAAAUGCGUAGAGAUUAGGAGGAACACCAGUGGCGAAGGCGGCUUACUGGACUGUAACUGACGUUGAGGCUCGAAAGCGUGGGGAGCAAACAGGAUUAGAUACCCGGGUAGUC
This 440-nucleotide ribosomal RNA is filed under the name uncultured bacterium. Its description in RNAcentral is "partial 16S ribosomal RNA". It matches the Rfam family "Bacterial small subunit ribosomal RNA", at positions 338 to 795 of the family's 1533-position model. The record is from RNAcentral.